UACAGAGGGUGCGAGCGUUAAUCGGAAUUACUGGGCGUAAAGCGCGCGUAGGCGGCUUUGCAAGUCGGGUGUGAAAUCCCCAGGCUUAACCUGGGAACUGCAUUCGAGACUGCAUUGCUAGAGUAUGGGAGAGGGAAGUGGAAUUUCCGGUGUAGCGGUGAAAUGCGUAGAUAUCUGGAGGAACACCGGUGGCGAAGGCGGCAUCCUGGACCGAUAUUGACGCUGAUGCGCGAAAGCCAGGGGAGCAAACGGG
RNAcentral lists this ribosomal RNA (253 nucleotides) under uncultured bacterium. RNAcentral's name for it is "partial 16S ribosomal RNA". It matches the Rfam family "Bacterial small subunit ribosomal RNA", at positions 524 to 776 of the family's 1533-position model. The record is from RNAcentral.